This 428-nucleotide ribosomal RNA is filed under the name Verrucomicrobiota bacterium. Its description in RNAcentral is "Verrucomicrobia bacterium partial 16S ribosomal RNA". It matches the Rfam family "Bacterial small subunit ribosomal RNA", at positions 355 to 776 of the family's 1533-position model. Lineage: Bacteria; Pseudomonadati; Verrucomicrobiota. The record is from RNAcentral.
UAGGGAAUAUUCCACAAUGAGCGAAAGCUUGAUGGAGCGACACAGCGUGCACGAUGAAGGUCUUCGGAUUGUAAAGUGCUGUUAUAAGGGAAGAACAUUUGCAAUAGGAAAUGAUUGCAGACUGACGGUACCUUGUCAGAAAGCGAUGGCUAACUAUGUGCCAGCAGCCGCGGUAAUACAUAGGUCGCAAGCGUUAUCCGGAAUUAUUGGGCGUAAAGCGUUCGUAGGCUGUUUGUUAAGUCUGGAGUUAAAUCCCGGGGCUCAACCCCGGCUCGCUUUGGAUACUAGCAAACUAGAGUUAGAUAGAGGUAAGCGGAAUUCCAUGUGAAGCGGUGAAAUGCGUAGAUAUCAGGAGGAACACCGGUGGCGAAGGCGGGUCUCUGGGCCGUUACUGACGCUGAGGAGCGAAAGCGUGGGGAGCGAACAGG